Molecule: long non-coding RNA, 395 nt
Filed under: Mytilus galloprovincialis (Mediterranean mussel)
Lineage: Eukaryota; Metazoa; Mollusca; Bivalvia; Mytilida; Mytilidae
Source: RNAcentral
UCAAGGUCACAUGAAAUCUGCCCGCUAGACAUGUACACCUUACAAUCAUUCCAUACAACAAAUAUAGUAGACCUAUUGCAUAUAGUAUGAAAAAAAACAGACCAAAACACAAAAAUUUAACUAUAACCACUGAACCAUGAAAAUGAGGUCAAGGUCACAUGACAUCUGCCCGCUAGACAUGUACACCUUACAAUCAUUCCAUACAACAAAUACAGUAGACCUAUUGCAUAUAGUAUGAAAAAACAGACCAAAACACAAAAAUUUAACUAUAACCACUGAACCAUGAAAAUGAGGUCAAGGUCAGAUGACACCUGCCAGUUGGACAUGUACACCUUACAGUCCUUCCAUACACCGAAUAUACAAGCCCUAUUGCUUAUAGUAUCUGAGAUACGGAC